RNAcentral lists this ribosomal RNA (253 nucleotides) under uncultured bacterium. Its description in RNAcentral is "partial 16S ribosomal RNA". It matches the Rfam family "Bacterial small subunit ribosomal RNA", at positions 524 to 776 of the family's 1533-position model. The record is from RNAcentral.
UACGAAGGGAGCUAGCGUUGUUCGGAAUCACUGGGCGUAAAGCGCACGUAGGCGGAUGUGUCAGUCAGGGGUGAAAUCCCGGGGCUCAACCUCGGAACUGCCUUUGAUACAGCACGUCUUGAGUCCGGAAGAGGUGGGUGGAAUUCCUAGUGUAGAGGUGAAAUUCGUAGAUAUUAGGAAGAACACCGGUGGCGAAGGCGGCCCACUGGUCCGGUACUGACGCUGAGGUGCGAAAGCGUGGGGAGCAAACAGG